Molecule: long non-coding RNA, 390 nt
Organism: Passer montanus (Eurasian tree sparrow)
Lineage: Eukaryota; Metazoa; Chordata; Aves; Passeriformes; Passeridae
Exons: 2
Source: RefSeq, a predicted model, not a curated record
AUUAGCGCGCCUGCAGUCACAGCCUAAUGAACUUCUGCCUGACCCUGCACUCCCGUUUGUGGUCGUGCUGGAAGGAAUGAGAAGGAGGUGUCUUUACAAACACACUGUGGGUCUGCUGGUAGACACACCCAGAUACUGAUAGAUUUGAAGAAAAAGAACACAGACACAAAGAAGAAGGGGAUACACGUCAGAAAGCCGCCUGGUUUAGGAAAUUUGGGAAGUUUGUACCUCUCAAGUAAGGGAAAGACAGAGAGAAAUGCGUCUGAUAAAUUAGCAUAAAAACGAGGCUGCGUUCUCCAGCAUCUUGGGUGACCCCAUGGGGAAUGCCCAUGGCCUUUCCCUUUAUGCCAAUAAAGUUACAGGGCUCCUGUGUCUCCUUUUGGACAUAAA